UCGACUGCAUGAAGCCGGAAUCGCUAGUAAUCGCGGAUCAGAAUGCCGCGGUGAAUACGUUCCCGGGUCUUGUACACACCGCCCGUCACACCAUGGGAGUCGGAAAUGCCCGAAGCCGGUGGCCUAACCGAUAAGGGAGGAGCCGUCGAAGGCAGGUCUGAUGACUGGGGUGAAGUCGUAACAAGGUACC
Molecule: ribosomal RNA, 190 nt
Filed under: uncultured bacterium
Lineage: Bacteria
Description: partial 16S ribosomal RNA
Rfam family: Bacterial small subunit ribosomal RNA
Source: RNAcentral